AGUCACUGACAUUAGAUACCCGUGUAGUCCAGGGUGUAAACGCUGCAGACUUGGUGUUGGAAGUCCUUUGGGGGCAUUCAGUGCCGGAGAGAAGUUGUUAAGUCUGCUACUUGGGAGUACGUCCGCAAGGAUGAAACUUAAAGGAAUUGGCGGGGGAGCACCGCAACGGGAGGAGCGUGCGGUUUAAUUGGAUUCAACACCGUAAAACUCACCAGGGAAGACUGUUACAUGAAAGCCGAGAUGAAGACUCUGCUAGAUUUUCAG
Molecule: ribosomal RNA, 264 nt
Filed under: uncultured archaeon
Lineage: Archaea
Description: partial 16S ribosomal RNA
Rfam family: Archaeal small subunit ribosomal RNA
Source: RNAcentral